CAGCACAGAGCCUGAUGCGGGGCUUGAACUUAAAAACUGUGAGAUCAUGACCUGAGUCGAAGUCAGACGCUUAACCGACUGAGCCACCCAGGUGCCCCAGAAAUGGAGAUGUUUUUAAGAUGGCCUAGACUUGGUUUUGUUUACCAUUUGGUCUGGCUUGAACAGGAAUUAGGCUUUUUAGAGUUUCACAAGCCAUCUAACACUUAAGGCCUUAUGUCACCAACAGUUCCUUCCUUGCUAUCACACCAAGCCUACUUCCUUCUCAGCUUAUUAGCCUUAAGAGAAAUAACCAAUUUAUAUUCUACACAGCAUAUGUCAUCUUUGGCUAAUCAUUCCAUAAUAUUAUUGAUUGAAGUGAGUAUUUGUAGCGUAAGAGAGAAUAUUGAAUUCCUCUGAAUUCUAUGGUAUUGGAACCACAAUGUAGCAUAAAGAAACUAGGCUUUUUUAUUUAAAGCUAACAGAUUCUAUUAAACUCUAAUAGAUCCAUUAUUAAAGGUUCUUUAGGGGCAUUAACCUUCAUAUUUUUAUAACAGGAGGUAAAAAGAUGACUAUCAUAAAUAAAACGGCUGAUGAAAUAAUGAUAUUGAACUGAGACCCAGAGUUGCAGCACGGUUUACAACUAACUGUGGCGUUGGGGUAGAGGUGUUAUUGCAGAAUCACUAUAAUAUGUUGUAUUUAAAGACAUAAGGUCAUAUUUAUCUUUUUUUUUCCCUCUACCAUGCAAGGUGGUGAGGUCAGUGUUUACAGCCUGUUGCACACAUUUCCAGACAGCUAGUUAAGUUUCAAAUGUCACCGGGAUGGCUACACAUAUUUUUAAAUAUGCAGCCUGCACACAUUAAAAAAUCCUGUGGGAUAAAGAAAGUAUACAUAUUUUUCAGCAUUCUUAACCUGUAAGUAAGUCCUCCUUCUGCGCUUCGUACAAAAAUGUAGUUAACAAUUAUUUUUAGAGGACUUAAAUAUGUAUGUGCAAAAACCUAGAGGUUAUGGGAGAUAGAAAUUAAUUGAGAUAGGUCCUUUCUUAGUUUUUGGUUUAAUAAAGGAUUAAUUCCUUUAUUCAUUCACACCUACUCAGUGCAAAAGCAAUGACUAUACAUUAGAAGAAAACAAGAUAGAUUGAUCCUUAGUCACAUAAAACUCAUAGUCUAAUGGGAGCUACACUAAAGAAGAUAAAGAAUAUCAUGAUUGAAUUAUUUAUAGAAACAGAGUUUAAAAUAUAUCACUUUUGGCCAGGGCCAAAUAUGGAAGAUAUACUUACAAAUAUUCCAAGUCGCUAUAUGAAGUAAAUGCUGAGCAUCUUCAUUUUUGAACAGAAUGAGUCUAAGAGGAGCAGAAACCAAAUGCAGUACUGAAGAUUGCUAAAAUGGUCAUGAUUCUCUAUCCCUCCCGAUCUUCACAACUGGUACAAUAGGAUAUUGCAUGUUCUUCAGUUAAGAGAUGGAAUCUAUUUCUCUGCCCCUGAAAUUUGGGAUGCUCAGCUGUGAUGAAAAUCUGGACAAGCCAGCUGAAAGACGAGGGACCACAUAGAAGAGAGAUGAGCCAUCCCAACAGAGGCCAUCUUGAACAGCUAUCACCCCACCUAUCUCAUGCAUUGGUGAGCUCAGCAGUGACCCCAGGAACAAAUCACUUGGGUACAGUCCGAAUUGUCAGCCCACCAAAUUGUGAGCUAAAUAAAUAUUUGUGGAUUUGAA
Molecule: long non-coding RNA, 1688 nt
Organism: Leopardus geoffroyi (Geoffroy's cat)
Lineage: Eukaryota; Metazoa; Chordata; Mammalia; Carnivora; Felidae
Exons: 2
Source: RefSeq, a predicted model, not a curated record